GCAAGUCGAACGAGAAAGCCCUUCGGGGUGAGGAGAGUGGCGCACGGGUGAGUAACACGUAGGUAAUCUACCUUAUAGUGGGGAAUAACUUGAGGAAACUUAAGCUAAUACCGCAUGUUGACUUCGGUCUAAAGAUGGACUCUUCUUGAAUGCUAUCGCUAUAAGAUGAGCCUGCGGGACAUUAGCUUGUUGGUGGGGUAAUGGCCUACCAAGGCGACGAUGUCUAGCGGGUCUGAGAGGAUGAUC
This 246-nucleotide ribosomal RNA is filed under the name uncultured bacterium. Its description in RNAcentral is "partial 16S ribosomal RNA". It matches the Rfam family "Bacterial small subunit ribosomal RNA", at positions 57 to 305 of the family's 1533-position model. The record is from RNAcentral.